This is a long non-coding RNA of Onychostoma macrolepis, 1112 nucleotides long. RefSeq lists it as uncharacterized. The record is from RefSeq and is a predicted model, not a curated record. Lineage: Eukaryota; Metazoa; Chordata; Actinopteri; Cypriniformes; Cyprinidae. The transcript is spliced from 5 exons.
AUCACCAGUGUCAGUUUACCUACUGAGCUUCAGUCUGAAGUCCUGCUGCCCUGUUUCUUUGAAUCAGACUUCUUGAAUUCAAACCAGACAAAUGAAAUUUGCGUGGUGUGGACUCACCUCAAUUCAACAAACAGAGAAAUUGUGGAGAUCGGUCUGGAUGGUGAGGCUAAAUUCUGGAACAACCGACGAGGACGGAUUAAGACAUUCCCAAAAUUACCAGAAUCUGAACUGCUGGACUUCUCCAUCAAGAUCCGUAAUGUGCAGCAGUCUGAUUUAGGUGUCUACCACUGCACACUGUUCAGAGAGACUGGCUGUCUCCUAGCCUAAAAGAGGAUUGAACUACACAACGAACCAGCUGUUGUUUCAGUGGAUUCUCUGACUUGGCUGAUCCCAACUGGAGCAGCAGGAGGAGCAGCAGUGCUAGUAGUGCUACUUGUGCUUCUUGUUGUUGCAUGUAAAUUCUUCAAACGUCAAGAAAAUAACAUCUGUGAGCCUGUCUAUGAGAACACCUCCCAAACAAAGUUCACUAACAGAGCAAAGUUCACUAAUGAAAACAGCGUGUCACUCAGCAAUCCAAUCUAUAGUUAAAAUGCACAACUGUGUGGAACAUCAGUAAAUAUAUGGAAUUCAUUAUAUAUUACAUCAAGAGAACUGAGAAUGAUUGUAAUGGGUCAGACUUUUUGUCUGGGUUUUACAUAUACAAAUGUAAAUAUAGCUGCAAGCAGCGAUUACCGGGGUUCAAGCAUUUAGCACAUAAGAAAAAAGACCGUUUUUUAAACAUUUGUAUUAUUUUAAAUUCAUUGAUUUCAUUUAUUUGUUUAUUUAUAUAUUCGUUCAUUCAUUUAUUCAUUAUUGACAGAGAAACUGGCUCAAUAAAUGAAUGCCAGAGAUCACUUUUCCUUUGAUUUGAGUUUUUACACGCUAUUACCGCAACGCCUAGUAUAUGCGCGCAACACAAAAUAAGUGGAGGCUGGCCGAGUAGCCCCAGAGUGCACCCUGGACACCUUCAAUUUCAUUGGUUUAUAAUACAGCAGAGCUUAUUGGUGUAGAUGUUUGCGCAUGAGCAUUCUGUUAUAUACGUUUUUAUGAAUGAUCUACGCCGUUUGGCUGUA